AGUCCUUCUUAACAUGGUAUCUUAAUUUUCUUACAUGUUCCACGAUUCCUUAUUUUUGUGCACCAUCAGAUGGUGCCUUGGGAUGUGGGAUGUGGAAGAUAUGGUGGAGUCCUUCUCUAAGAAGGAUCUCUACAUAAAAAAUAAAUGGGACGUCCUUUAUUUUUGGGCGAUGAGAAAUGGAGAGUCCAUUUCACAUUGGACUCUUAUUUCCUUCCAUUUUCUCAAUGCAUUUUUAAAUUCUUCAUGUCAUCAGAUGAACCUUGGAAUUUUAGGCACAGA
Molecule: long non-coding RNA, 279 nt
Filed under: Elaeis guineensis (African oil palm)
Lineage: Eukaryota; Viridiplantae; Streptophyta; Magnoliopsida; Arecales; Arecaceae
Description: long non-coding RNA (EGUI_LNC057493)
Source: RNAcentral